GUUGAGUAAUGCAUUAAUGCUUAAUUGUCUAAUACUUUAUUUUAUAUUGUUUUCUUACGGAUAAAGUGGUUAAUGCCACUUAAUUAUUAAUUCUAUCCACGUAAGUACUAAACGCCAUACAAUUUAUCCUUAAUGAGAUCAACAUAUAGAUGAAGGGAAUAGACGUGAAGGGUCAAAUUAUACUUGAAAAAUCUGGAAAAGUGGGUCUGAAAUCGAUCCAGAUCCAAAAAAUGUUUUACAAUGCGCCAGUCAGAAAACACUAAUUAUUGCUCACUAGAUAGCUCGAAAAUACUUCCGCUGUAUUAUUUUAUAAAACUUUUCAGAAAUUGAUUAAUUAAAGGUCAUUCAUAUUAUAUUGAUUGUUCUUCAAAUCUGCAAAUCAUGGCCAGAUGGCCGCGGGUCCCGGAUCCUUCAGGAUGGAACCAUUCUGAAAGAUCCGGGUUCAAUUCUUAGUUUCAUAUUUCCAGAUAUUUUACAAGAGGUUUCUGGGCCCUGCCUGUUAAACUUAUUCUCCACCCGAUGACUGACCAAACUAGAGUUGUGGGCGAACCGUGAUGGGAACAAAAUCCUUGCUGCUUAGUAAUCACGAAAUGGAAACCGGCUACAUUAAACGUCAUAUGUAAAACAAAGCUCUGUAGAUCAUUGAUUACUGACCGUUUCUUUAGGAUAACUGCAUAGAAUUAUGCCGCAUUUCCACCGUGGAAAAGCCAGAUUUAAUUCUAUCCCUAUUUUCACAUUUUUUAUGAGCAGUCUACAUCUGAUCAGUUGAUCUUGUCCUUCAUCUGACGGCCAACUGCAUCAAUAAUGUGGCGAUUAGUGGCGAACUCUGAAAGAGCUUCGCAUUUAAAUUAAUAUUCGAGAUGACAGAAAGCAGUAUCAAGGCUUAGGGAAAAAGCUCGCUAUUCUAAAACGUUUCUCAAAGCAAUGAUCCAUAGAUUGAUACUGCUGGAGCCAUUAAAUGUCCAACGCAACAGGUUGCCACAAAAAUGCUUUAAGAAGCAAAACAUUAAAACCAUAGUUCAAAGAAUAUGUUUCAAUGACUACAUAGUAAUACAUACUAUCGGUAACAUUAUGCCAUUCUGUACAUGCUAUCGAGCCGUAUAUAGAGGAGGUAGUAAUACACGCUUCAGUGCGUAUAUGUAUGGGUCUGUACUCAUCCUGAAAAACUGGAGAUGUGCAACUCCAGCUUUUUAGAUAUGAAAAACUUGAAGUAUGGUAUUGAACUCCAUUCUUCAACUUUCUGGUUUACCCAUCAUGGAUGUCCAGCCC
RNAcentral lists this long non-coding RNA (1269 nucleotides) under Androctonus crassicauda. The record is from RNAcentral. Lineage: Eukaryota; Metazoa; Arthropoda; Arachnida; Scorpiones; Buthidae.